CUUCCGGCUCUUCCUGCUCCUUUCCCAACUAGUCUUGAGUGUGGUAGCGUACACCUGCUCCCUUCUGGCUUUGGGGAAGGGGAUGAGACUGCGCUCCCGAACCGGAGGCAUACUGGGCCGCUGAGGCAUAGGAAUGGUCACAAGGUUUAAGCCCUGAAUUAAGUUUUCCCCCUUAGACGCCUCAAGCCCUCCAGCCCAAGAUGUAGCCCUCGAAUAGUCUAGCUGCGGGGUUCCGCGUUCAUGGUUUAAGGGAAAGUUAUCCAAACGGAAGUCCACCCCCGAAAACCAAUGAAGAAAGCCGAAUAGGAUUAUGAGAUGCGGGAGGGGGUGCCCCGCAGCUCUAAAAGCUCACCUCCUUACGACCCUGCCAAGAAUGUGGGUUGAGAAUUCAUCUAAGAACGCUGUGAAACAUGAGGCACACACAGGAGACCCCCUUUUCUAGCAGGCCAAUUCGGAUGACCCCCACCCCGCAUCAUUAUUGAGCACAGGUGUUGAACCCUUCACCUGUGUGUGUGUGCAGCGAAAGGGUCUUGACUUGAUGGGGCUGUCUGAGUGGUCCUCAACUGACAUGCAAUCCAUACUCUUUCAUUCAUAGAUACAGCUUUCCCUAUGGGAUUUUUGGAGGGGGAAAAUGACAUUAAAAAUUCUUCAGGGCAGGGGCAGUGAGAUGGCUCAGUGGAUGGAGAGAGCCAGACCUAGGGAGAGAGCGAAGAUCCUGGGUUCAAAUCUGGCCUCAGACUCUUUCUAGGGUGUGAUCUUGGGCAAGACACCACCCCAAGUGUGUAGGCUUUACCACUCUUUUGCCUUGGAACCAAUACACAGCAUCAAUUCUAAGACAGAAGGGGUUUCCCUGGACAGCAGAAGAAGGAAGGACAUAUUUGGAAAUGGAAUAAAAGCAAAAGGUCUCUACCCAUCCAUGCCUGUUUAUCAAGAGGGACUCAUCUAUGUCCUCUUGCAAUUCCACCCUAUUGGUUCCGUCCAAUGUGCUGUGAUGGGAAUAUGGGGGUGCUGGAAGGGAGGAAGGAGAGAAGGAAAGAGGAAAGGAGGAAAGCAGAGAGAUAUCUUGAAAAUUAGUUCUCUGAAAAUGGAAAACAGUAUGGCAGAAAUGAGACAGAGACUGUCACCUCAUGCCAUAUACCAAGGUCUGCACGGUCUACGCAGAGAGGGACACAACAUGAAAAGGAAACUUUCAGCACAGAAGGCCUUUCGGAGGAUCUGGACCCGAGUCUGUGCCCUUCCACGCAUUGAUUUCCCCCAGUCUUUAGGUACACGUCACCUGUGA
Molecule: long non-coding RNA, 1282 nt
Filed under: Monodelphis domestica (gray short-tailed opossum)
Lineage: Eukaryota; Metazoa; Chordata; Mammalia; Didelphimorphia; Didelphidae
Description: lncRNA (ENSMODG00000044028.1)
Source: RNAcentral